RNAcentral lists this ribosomal RNA (510 nucleotides) under Bacillus sp. (in: firmicutes). Its description in RNAcentral is "bacterial SSU rRNA". It matches the Rfam family "Bacterial small subunit ribosomal RNA", at positions 44 to 536 of the family's 1533-position model. Lineage: Bacteria; Bacillati; Bacillota; Bacilli; Caryophanales; Bacillaceae. The record is from RNAcentral.
GGUGCUAUACAUGCAGUCGAGCGAAUGGAUUGAGAGCUUGCUCUCAAGAAGUUAGCGGCGGACGGGUGAGUAACACGUGGGUAACCUGCCCAUAAGACUGGGAUAACUCCGGGAAACCGGGGCUAAUACCGGAUAACAUUUUGAACUGCAUGGUUCGAAAUUGAAAGGCGGCUUCGGCUGUCACUUAUGGAUGGACCCGCGUCGCAUUAGCUAGUUGGUGAGGUAACGGCUCACCAAGGCAACGAUGCGUAGCCGACCUGAGAGGGUGAUCGGCCACACUGGGACUGAGACACGGCCCAGACUCCUACGGGAGGCAGCAGUAGGGAAUCUUCCGCAAUGGACGAAAGUCUGACGGAGCAACGCCGCGUGAGUGAUGAAGGCUUUCGGGUCGUAAAACUCUGUUGUUAGGGAAGAACAAGUGCUAGUUGAAUAAGCUGGCACCUUGACGGUACCUAACCAGAAAGCCCCGGCUAACUACGUGCCAGCAGCCGCGGUAAUACGUAGGUGGCA